RNAcentral lists this ribosomal RNA (245 nucleotides) under uncultured Salinispora sp. RNAcentral describes it as "partial 16S ribosomal RNA". It matches the Rfam family "Bacterial small subunit ribosomal RNA", at positions 524 to 767 of the family's 1533-position model. The record is from RNAcentral. Lineage: Bacteria; Bacillati; Actinomycetota; Actinomycetes; Micromonosporales; Micromonosporaceae.
UACGUAGGGGGCAAGCGUUGUCCGGAUUUAUUGGGCGUAAAGAGCGUGUAGGCGGCCAAAUAGGUCGGUUGUGAAAACUGGAUGGCUCAACCUCCAGACGUCGACCGAAACCAUCUGGCUAGAGUCCGGAAGAGGAGAAUGGAAUUCCUGGUGUAGCGGUGAAAUGCGCAGAUAUCAGGAAGAACACCCGUGGCGAAGGCGGUUCUCUGGGACGGUACUGACGCUGAGACGCGAAAGCGUGGGGA